GGAGAGACUGUGGCUCAGUGGUAGAACAUCUGACACACACGCAAAAGGUUGUAGGUUCGUUCCCUAGCAACUCCA
RNAcentral lists this transfer RNA (75 nucleotides) under Sphaerodactylus townsendi. RNAcentral's name for it is "tRNA-Val". Lineage: Eukaryota; Metazoa; Chordata; Lepidosauria; Squamata; Sphaerodactylidae. The record is from RNAcentral.